This 1622-nucleotide ribosomal RNA is filed under the name Klebsiella aerogenes. RNAcentral's name for it is "partial 23S ribosomal RNA". It matches the Rfam family "Bacterial large subunit ribosomal RNA", at positions 611 to 2215 of the family's 2925-position model. Lineage: Bacteria; Pseudomonadati; Pseudomonadota; Gammaproteobacteria; Enterobacterales; Enterobacteriaceae. The record is from RNAcentral.
UAUAAUGGGUCAGCGACUUAUAUUCUGUAGCAAGGUUAACCGUAUAGGGGAGCCGCAGGGAAACCGAGUCUUAACUGGGCGUUAAGUUGCAGGGUAUAGACCCGAAACCCGGUGAUCUAGCCAUGGGCAGGUUGAAGGUUGGGUAACACUAACUGGAGGACCGAACCGACUAAUGUUGAAAAAUUAGCGGAUGACUUGUGGCUGGGGGUGAAAGGCCAAUCAAACCGGGAGAUAGCUGGUUCUCCCCGAAAGCUAUUUAGGUAGCGCCUCGUGAACUCAUCUUCGGGGGUAGAGCACUGUUUCGGCUAGGGGGUCAUCCCGACUUACCAACCCGAUGCAAACUACGAAUACCGAAGAAUGUUAUCACGGGAGACACACGGCGGGUGCUAACGUCCGUCGUGAAGAGGGAAACAACCCAGACCGCCAGCUAAGGUCCCAAAGUCACAGUUAAGUGGGAAACGAUGUGGGAAGGCACAGACAGCCAGGAUGUUGGCUUAGAAGCAGCCAUCAUUUAAAGAAAGCGUAAUAGCUCACUGGUCGAGUCGGCCUGCGCGGAAGAUGUAACGGGGCUAAACUGUGCACCGAAGCUGCGGCAGCGACACUAUGUGUUGUUGGGUAGGGGAGCGUUCUGUAAGCCUGCGAAGGUGGCCUGUGAGGGUUGCUGGAGGUAUCAGAAGUGCGAAUGCUGACAUAAGUAACGAUAAUGCGGGUGAAAAGCCCGCACGCCGGAAGACCAAGGGUUCCUGUCCAACGUUAAUCGGGGCAGGGUGAGUCGACCCCUAAGGCGAGGCCGAAAGGCGUAGUCGAUGGGAAACAGGUUAAUAUUCCUGUACUUGGUGUUACUGCGAAGGGGGGACGGAGAAGGCUAUGUUAGCCGGGCGACGGUUGUCCCGGUUUAAGCAUGUAGGCGGAGGUUCCAGGUAAAUCCGGUACCUUUUUAACGCUGAGGUGUGAUGACGAGGCACUACGGUGCUGAAGUAACAAAUGCCCUGCUUCCAGGAAAAGCCUCUAAGCAUCAGGUAACAUUAAAUCGUACCCCAAACCGACACAGGUGGUCAGGUAGAGAAUACCAAGGCGCUUGAGAGAACUCGGGUGAAGGAACUAGGCAAAAUGGUGCCGUAACUUCGGGAGAAGGCACGCUGAUAUGUAGGUGAAGCCCCUGCGGGUGGAGCUGAAAUCAGUCGAAGAUACCAGCUGGCUGCAACUGUUUAUUAAAAACACAGCACUGUGCAAACACGAAAGUGGACGUAUACGGUGUGACGCCUGCCCGGUGCCGGAAGGUUAAUUGAUGGGGUUAUCCGUAAGGAGAAGCUCUUGAUCGAAGCCCCGGUAAACGGCGGCCGUAACUAUAACGGUCCUAAGGUAGCGAAAUUCCUUGUCGGGUAAGUUCCGACCUGCACGAAUGGCGUAAUGAUGGCCAGGCUGUCUCCACCCGAGACUCAGUGAAAUUGAACUCGCUGUGAAGAUGCAGUGUACCCGCGGCAAGACGGAAAGACCCCGUGAACCUUUACUAUAGCUUGACACUGAACAUUGAGCCUUGAUGUGUAGGAUAGGUGGGAGGCUUUGAAGCGUGGACGCCAGUCUGCGUGGAGCCAACCUUGAAAUACCACCCUUUAAUGUUU